This 253-nucleotide ribosomal RNA is filed under the name uncultured bacterium. RNAcentral describes it as "partial 16S ribosomal RNA". It matches the Rfam family "Bacterial small subunit ribosomal RNA", at positions 524 to 776 of the family's 1533-position model. The record is from RNAcentral.
UACGGAGGAUUCGAGCGUUAUCCGGAUUUAUUGGGUUUAAAGGGUGCGUAGGCGGACUGUUAAGUCAGCGGUGAAAGCUUACGGCUCAACCGUGAAAUUGCAGUUGAUACUGUUGGGCUUGAGUAUACAUGAGGUGGGCGGAAUUUGUGGUGUAGCGGUGAAAUGCUUAGAUAUCACAAGGAACUCCAAUUGCGAAGGCAGCUCACUGGGGUAUUACUGACGCUGAGGCACGAAGGUGUGGGUAUCAAACAGG